Non-coding RNA from Gossypium raimondii (Peruvian cotton), 72 nucleotides. The record is from Rfam. Lineage: Eukaryota; Viridiplantae; Streptophyta; Magnoliopsida; Malvales; Malvaceae.
GCAUCCAUUGUCUAAUGGAUAGGACAGAAGUAAUUUAAACCUUUGGUAUAGGUUCAAAUCCUAUUGGACGCA